GUUCGAUAUGACUGAGGGGGGUGGGAAGAUUGGGCGCGCGUGCCCGUUGCCAGGCACUUCCCAUCCUCCAACCGGGGAAUUCCACUCCGGCCACCGUUUCGCAGUCGUCGUCAGCUGUGGCGGUGGCAGCGGUGCUCCCAGCCAGAAGGGGCUAGCGUGACUCCGGACUGCGUGCUGCGAAGAGCCGUCGUGAGGUCGCGUGCCGCCCGCUGAGCCGCCACGAUCAGCGGGCGGCCCCGCAUCACCCCAAUCUGUGGCCACAGCAACCGUUCAGGCCUUUGUUAAUCCACGUGUUAGAUGAAGACCUGUCCACGCCGUAUGAGUCGUGAGGGUGAUUUGACCACGACUUAACGAUACGGAAUGGCAUCAACGGGAGGAGCGGCGCACACAUGACGUGCGACGUCAUCACAUUGGCCGGAAAGGCUUAUCCAUUUAUCCCCAAGUCUUGGGCAACCAUUUCAUCAAUGUGGCUGGUGUUCUCCGCGGUAAGUCUCUAUUAGCUAUACAACUUUAUGCAAGCGUUUUAUUCACGUUAGAUCUUCUUUAUGAGUGUAAUGAUUGCACGUUGCAGACAAAAAGAUGGUACAGCUAAUGUAUUCACGCUGUCAACCUUGAAUUGAACAGCGAUAUCGACAUCCCCGGCUGAUUUUAGGAGGAGCAGCAGCAGCAGCAGCGUUGAGCGCUGAGGCACCACUCACCAGGUGCAUGCUGUGCAUCUGGAUGACGUUCUUCUGCAUGUCCCACUCGGUUGCCACAGCGACAGCCAAACUCUCGCUGGGCACGGCAAACAGCUUCCCCUGCGGUGUGCGCAGCUUGCGGCGGUCCAGGUUCACCUCAAACAUGCCGCCUGUUGGGACGGACGCACCUCUUCGUCGGUGGGGUCUGGAAAGCUAUCGCCAAUAAACUGCAACUUGGAUCACUACCUGUGAGAUCUUCCCUCAAUGGAAAACUAUCGCCAAUAAACUGCAACUUGGAUCACUACCUGUGAGAUCUUCCCUCAAAACUGCUCCUGAGGAGCUGGACACCCCUAGCUGCCACUGCUAUGCAGAGUGGCCUGAAAUCAAAUGCAUCGCUCCAGAUGACCGCUGCAAAGUAUGAUCUUGAGUUUUGAUUAUAGUAUGCUGAUCUU
This is a non-coding RNA of Petromyzon marinus (sea lamprey), 1129 nucleotides long. The record is from RefSeq and is a predicted model, not a curated record. NCBI's taxonomy places the organism in Eukaryota, Metazoa, Chordata, Hyperoartia, Petromyzontiformes, Petromyzontidae.